RNAcentral lists this ribosomal RNA (160 nucleotides) under Gymnopilus sp. SMI315. RNAcentral's name for it is "5.8S ribosomal RNA". It matches the Rfam family "5.8S ribosomal RNA". Rfam says of the family: 5.8S ribosomal RNA (5.8S rRNA) is a component of the large subunit of the eukaryotic ribosome. It is transcribed by RNA polymerase I as part of the 45S precursor that also contains 18S and 28S rRNA. Functionally, it is thought that 5.8S rRNA may be involved in ribosome translocation. Lineage: Eukaryota; Fungi; Basidiomycota; Agaricomycetes; Agaricales; Galerinaceae. The record is from RNAcentral.
CAACUUUCAGCAACGGAUCUCUUGGCUCUCGCAUCGAUGAAGAACGCAGCGAAAUGCGAUAAGUAAUGUGAAUUGCAGAAUUCAGUGAAUCAUCGAAUCUUUGAACGCACCUUGCGCCCCUUGGUAUUCCGAGGGGCAUGCCUGUUUGAGUGUCAUUAAG